RNAcentral lists this ribosomal RNA (301 nucleotides) under uncultured bacterium. RNAcentral describes it as "partial 16S ribosomal RNA". It matches the Rfam family "Bacterial small subunit ribosomal RNA", at positions 509 to 809 of the family's 1533-position model. The record is from RNAcentral.
CAGUCGCCGCGGUAAUACGGAGGGUGCAAGCGUUAAUCGGAAUUACUGGGCGUAAAGCGCACGCAGGCGGUCUGACAAGUCAGAUGUGAAAUCCCCGGGCUUAACCUGGGAACUGCAUUUGAAACUGUCAGGCUGGAGUCUUGUAGAGGGGGGUGGAAUUCCAGGUGUAGCGGUGAAAUGCGUAGAGAUCUGGAGGAAUACCGGUGGCGAAGGCGGCCCCCUGGACAAAGACUGACGCUCAGGUGCGAAAGCGUGGGGAGCAAACAGGAUUAGAUACCCCCGUAGUCCCUGUCCUUAUACA